RNAcentral lists this unclassified non-coding RNA (379 nucleotides) under Hevea brasiliensis (rubber tree). Lineage: Eukaryota; Viridiplantae; Streptophyta; Magnoliopsida; Malpighiales; Euphorbiaceae. The record is from RNAcentral.
GAAUCAUCCCCGUUGACUUUUUUUUUUUUUUCUUGGGUGGUAAAUGGAUCAUAAAACUUGAACUUGUAACAGGUAAGUAUCGGCUACAUUUUUUUUUUCUCUCUUUCAAUCUUGGUAAGUUCAAGUCACACAUAAAUAUUUUCUUUCCACCACAAUAAUGUUCUUCCAUGCUUCUUUUCUUGAACUUCUACCAACAGGAGCCAAGUUACAUGUAAAUCAAUGUAUCUAUUUUCUCACUCCACAUUCUUACGCAAUUGUUUUGUCAUUGUGCUAAUGAACCUUUAACCUUUUUAUCAGUUAUGUAUUAGUACACUAGGAUAUCUUAAAUUAUUCCUUUUCUUUUUUUAUUUUAAAUUGAUCAUAAGACAUGAACUUCUAG